UCCCUGGUGGCUCAGUGGUAAAGAAUCUGCCUGCGAUGCAGGAGACACAGGUUCAAUCCCUGAGUUGGGAA
Molecule: transfer RNA, 71 nt
Filed under: Bos taurus (domestic cattle)
Lineage: Eukaryota; Metazoa; Chordata; Mammalia; Artiodactyla; Bovidae
Also listed under: 4 other names
Rfam family: tRNA
About the family: Transfer RNA (tRNA) molecules are approximately 80 nucleotides in length. Their secondary structure includes four short double-helical elements and three loops (D, anti-codon, and T loops).
Source: Rfam by way of RNAcentral